RNAcentral lists this ribosomal RNA (482 nucleotides) under uncultured bacterium. RNAcentral's name for it is "partial 16S ribosomal RNA". It matches the Rfam family "Bacterial small subunit ribosomal RNA", at positions 30 to 507 of the family's 1533-position model. The record is from RNAcentral.
AUUGAACGCUGGCGGCAUGCCUUACACAUGCAAGUCGAACGGUAACAGGUCUUCGGAUGCUGACGAGUGGCGAACGGGUGAGUAAUACAUCGGAACGUGCCCGAUCGCGGGGGAUAACGAAGCGAAAGCUUUGCUAAUACCGCAUACGAUCUACGGAUGAAAGCAGGGGACCGCAAGGCCUUGCGCGAACGGAGCGGCCGAUGGCAGAUUAGGUAGUUGGUGGGAUAAAAGCUUACCAAGUCGACGAUGUGUAGCUGAUCUGAGAGGAGGACCAGCCACACUGGAACUGAGACACGGCCCAGACUCCUACGGGAGGCAGCAGUGGGGAAUUUUGGGCAAUGGGCGAAAGCCUGAUCCAGUCAUGCCGCGUGCAGGAUGAAGGCCUUCGGGUUGUAAACUGCUUUUAUACGGAACGAAAAGACUCUGAUUAAUACCUGGGGUCCAUGACGGUACCGUAAGAAUAAGCACCGGCUAACUACGUG